CCUGCGCUUCCACACCCUCCCCUCCAAAUGCUCUAUCGGUGGCGCUUCUCAGCCUUGCGCCGUCGUUGCACCGAACCUCCAUUGCACUGAACUUUCAUCACCCCGUCACACCCCUUCCUGGCUCUUCUAUGUGUGUUGCUCGCGUCAUUCCCUUUCGAACCCUAAUGUGCAUUUCUCCGUCACCGUCUUCAUCACCUCCGUCCCCAUCCUUUUCACCUUCUCCUGUGUUUACUCUUUCUACCUUCACGACCGAUCACUCAUUCAGUAGCACUAACAAUAACCAAGGGCGUCCACCGAGCAGCCAUUGAAGAAGCGAAAGCACAACACUCUCCCAGAAUCCCCACUGCCAUACCACCGCUGCUAGCACCGCCGCCAUAAUCUCCGCAAACCGUAGCUCGUUCGCCUACUCCUCCUCCUCCACCUCUGUCACAGGAUGAGGUCAUCACCAAGCGCAUGAACAAAGAUGAGGUUCGAACCAUGCUUGAGUGCUACCGUCGCAUCAAGCUCUUCUUGUCAAAGAAGGAAGGUGCUUUCAUCCAUACCCUUGAACAGAGCUUCUUCGCUCUCAUCAAUGCUUUCAGAGGGGUGAAGACACUCGCUCUGGAUUCACUAGCCAUCUCUAUGCCACCCUCACAAGGAAGGGAAUCACUACCUUCAUUGAUGACACCGACCUUCGCAAAGAUUUGCAUAGUGAAGCUUGGAGGACUAGAUGAAACACAAACACAAAGACAGCUGCAUCAUGAUGAUGAAGAAAUAGAGAAUGUUCAUCGUUCUUAUUUGUCUUUAGUGAAAAAAAGUGAGGAGGAAGCUUUGCUUCUUUACAGUUACAGGCACAGUAUGAAAGGGUUUGCAGCAUUGCUUAGCAGAGAAAAAGCGAAGAAGAGGAAAGACAUUUAUUGGAGAGAAAUAUGAAUGUAGGGCUUCAACAGAAGAUUGAAGAACUUCAGAAAAAUUUGAUGCAGGUUACCCAUGAAAAGGUGAAAGCUCUUGUGGAAUUUGCACAACUAAAGUAGGAGCAUCAAUUACUGAUAGAGAAACUGGAUCAGGAGAUUAAACACGGAAAAGCCAUGGUUAGCAUUGGAGAAAGAAAUCAUAUUACUCAUGAAAGAGACGGAAGUUUAAAAAACUUACUAAAGAGAACAUAUCUAAGUCGAUGGAUUGGCCCACUUGAUAAGAGCGGCAAUGAAGUCGACAGUAAUCCAAAUAAUGAAGGAAAAUUUCUUAAUAAAAGAUCCACCAGUAUGGAUUUUGCAAGGUAAGUGUUUUAUUGGUAGUCAUUGAAUCUGAAUUUAUUGCAUCGAUAAAUGAUUUUGGAAGGUAAUUUAAUCAUAUCUCUAAUCUAUUUGACUUAUAUGAAGCUACCACUAUGACCAAUAGUGAUUGUUUUCAUACUUCUGUCUAUUUAUGUGUAAUGUGUCUUGUCCAUCACAAUGAAGAUUGAAAUUGCAAUGCUUAAGGAAAGCAUGGAGUGUUUAACUUCAUCAAUUCAUAGGCUUCAUCUCUCUCUUUUCAAGACCCAAGGAAUCUGUUGUCUGUGAAGAUGUAGUUUCUGGUAUCUCAGAAAUCCUCAAUGAAAUUAUCAAUGAAGCAAAACUUGUAAAGACUGCACUUGGGAGCUCCUUACCCAUCAGUUGGUUAGGAGAAGGAGAUGCUGGUUACAUGGGAGAUAAUGCAGGCACUAGCACGACAUAUCAGGAAUGCACUAAAGGACUAUGAUGACGAUGACACUGAAGACUAUAGCUGAUAGUUUUAGUAUGGUUGAACAAUACACUGAGAAUUAUAGUUGAUGAUCAAUACACUUUGUUUAUGUUUUGAAUUAUAUUGGCUUGCUUGUUUAUAUCACUUUUCUUUUAGUUUGAUAA
This is an RNA transcript of Arachis stenosperma, 1862 nucleotides long. RefSeq lists it as uncharacterized. The record is from RefSeq and is a predicted model, not a curated record. NCBI's taxonomy places the organism in Eukaryota, Viridiplantae, Streptophyta, Magnoliopsida, Fabales, Fabaceae. The transcript has 7 exons.